GACGAACGCUGGCGGCGUGCCUAACACAUGCAAGUCGAGCGGAGACAUGUUGCGGAAGUUUUCGGAUGGAAGCGAUAUGUUUUAGCGGCGGACGGGUGAGUAACGCGUGAGCAACCUUUCCUUCACAGGGGAAUAACGCACCGAAAGGUGCACUAAUACCGCAUGAGACCACAGCUCUGCAUGGAGCAGUGGUUAAAGGAGAAAUCCGGUGAAGGGUGGGCUCGCGUCCGAUUAGCUAGUUGGCAGGGUGAUAGCCUACCAAGGCGACGAUCGGUAGGGGUUCUGAGAGGAAGGUCCCCCACAUUGGAACUGAGACACGGUCCAG
RNAcentral lists this ribosomal RNA (325 nucleotides) under uncultured bacterium. Its description in RNAcentral is "bacterial SSU rRNA". It matches the Rfam family "Bacterial small subunit ribosomal RNA", at positions 28 to 334 of the family's 1533-position model. The record is from RNAcentral.